GAGGACGAGCCACGGUUGGAGAUCACUGGGUUUGUAUUAGAAGGUCAUGCAUAGGGUGGAGUCUCUGACACACUGCCCUGGGUGAUUGAGCCAGACGUGGAAAUCCAAAGCGGAGAUGCUCUCCCUAAUGCCUGACACCUGGUGCAGAUUUGGAGGGGAUUGCACUACAGGCUGGGAUGGAAGAAAACAGCCGGCAAGUGUAAGCACAGCAUCACAGGACAUCAAAACACUGGAUGCAGCACCAGAAACACAAUGUCACCUGACCUGGCAACCCCGGAUAAGACUCUGUGAUGAUUACUCAUUAUGUCCCAGGGGACUUAAAUUAGGAUUUUUUUUUUCAACCUUUUUUCAAUUUUAAUUUUAAUUUUAAUUUUUUUUAUAAUAAAAUCUUAAAGCUUCUACA
RNAcentral lists this long non-coding RNA (403 nucleotides) under Gouania willdenowi (blunt-snouted clingfish). RNAcentral describes it as "lncRNA (ENSGWIG00000012637.1)". The record is from RNAcentral. Lineage: Eukaryota; Metazoa; Chordata; Actinopteri; Blenniiformes; Gobiesocidae.